UACUACCGAAGCUACGGCAUCAGUAAUGAUGGGUAGGGGAGCUUCCCAUACGGGUUGAAGCAUGACCGUAAGGACAUGUGGACAGUAUGAGAGUGAGAAUGUUGGCUUGAGUAGCGAGAUGUGGGUGAGAAUCUCACAGGCCGUGAACCUAAGGUUUUCAGGGGAAGGUUCGACAGCCCUGGGUUAGUCGGGACCUAAGCUGAGGACGAAAGGCGGAGGGAAUAGACAACAGGAUAAUAUUACUGUACUACCUAUAAACGUUGGAGAGUAGGGACGACACAGUAGGACAACCUAAGCACAAGGUUGGGUAGUGGUGCCCAACAAUGCAGGCAGACAUAGUAUGAAAGACGGCUAUGAUAAUGCACGGGUGUGAGAGGGGACCG
RNAcentral lists this ribosomal RNA (383 nucleotides) under Clostridioides difficile. Its description in RNAcentral is "bacterial LSU rRNA". It matches the Rfam family "Bacterial large subunit ribosomal RNA", at positions 1189 to 1575 of the family's 2925-position model. Lineage: Bacteria; Bacillati; Bacillota; Clostridia; Peptostreptococcales; Peptostreptococcaceae. The record is from RNAcentral.